RNAcentral lists this ribosomal RNA (231 nucleotides) under uncultured bacterium. RNAcentral describes it as "partial 16S ribosomal RNA". It matches the Rfam family "Bacterial small subunit ribosomal RNA", at positions 524 to 754 of the family's 1533-position model. The record is from RNAcentral.
GACGAAGGGGGCUAGCGUUGUUCGGAAUUACUGGGCGUAAAGCGCGUGUAGGCGGUUGUCCAAGUUGGAUGUGAAAGCCUUGAGCUCAACUCAAGAAAUGCAUUCAGGACUGGAUGACUAGAGGACCGGAGAGGAUAGUGGAAUUCCCAGUGUAGUGGUGAAAUACGUAGAGAUUGGGAAGAACACCAGUGGCGAAGGCGGCUAUCUGGACGGUUUCUGACGCUAAGACGC